Molecule: ribosomal RNA, 506 nt
Filed under: uncultured bacterium
Lineage: Bacteria
Description: partial 16S ribosomal RNA
Rfam family: Bacterial small subunit ribosomal RNA
Source: RNAcentral
AUUGAACGCUGGCGGCAGGCCUAACACAUGCAAGUCGGACGGUAGCACAGAGGAGCUUGCUCUUCGGGUGACGAGUGGCGGACGGGUGAGUAAUGUCUGGGGAUCUGCCCGAUAGAGGGGGAUAACCACUGGAAACGGUGGCUAAUACCGCAUAACGUCGCAAGACCAAAGAGGGGGACCUUCGGGCCUCUCACUAUCGGAUGAACCCAGAUGGGAUUAGCUAGUAGGCGGGGUAACGGCCCACCUAGGCGACGAUCCCUAGCUGGUCUGAGAGGAUGACCAGCCAAACUGGAACUGAGACACGGUCCGGACUCCUACGGGAGGCAGCAGUGGGGAAUAUUGCACAAUGGGCGCAAGCCUGAUGCAGCCAUGCCGCGUGUAUGAAGAAGGCCUUCGGGUUGUAAAGUACUUUCAGCGGGGAGGAAGGCGAUGUGGUUAAUAACCGCGUCGAUUGACGUUACCCGCAGAAGAAGCACCGGCUAACUCCGUGCCAGCCGCCGCGGUAA